UUAAGUUAAUAAGGGCGCACGGUGGAUGCCUUGGCACUAGAAGCCGAUGAAGGACGUGACUAACGACGAAAUGCUUUGGGGAGCUGUAAGUGAGCAAUGAUCCAGAGAUGUCCGAAUGGGGGAACCCGGCAGGUAAUGCCUGUCACUCAUUACUGUUAAGGUAAUGUAGAGGAAGACGCAGUGAACUGAAACAUCUAAGUAGCUGCAGGAAGAGAAAGCAAAAGCGAUUGCCUUAGUAGCGGCGAGCGAAACGGCAAGAGGGCAAACCGAAGAGUUUACUCUUCGGGGUUGUAGGACUGCAACGUGGACUUAAAGAUUAUAGAAGAACUACCUGGGAAGGUAGGCCAAAGAGAGUAAUAGCCUCGUAUUCGAAAUAGUCUUUAUACCUAGCAGUAUCCUGAGUACGGCGAGACACGAGAAAUCUCGUCGGAAUCUGGGAGGACCAUCUCCCAACCCUAAAUACUCUCUAGUGACCGAUAGUGAACCAGUACCGUGAGGGAAAGGUGAAAAGCACCCCGGGAGGGGAGUGAAAUAGAACCUGAAACCGUGUGCCUACAACAAGUUCGAGCCCGUUAAUGGGUGAGAGCGUGCCUUUUGUAGAAUGAACCGGCGAGUUACGAUAUGAUGCGAGGUUAAGUUGAAGAGACGGAGCCGUAGGGAAACCGAGUCUUAAUAGGGCGCAUUAGUAUCAUGUCGUAGACCCGAAACCAUGUGACCUACCCAUGAGCAGGUUGAAGGUGAGGUAAAACUCACUGGAGGACCGAACCAGGGCACGUUGAAAAGUGCUUGGAUGACUUGUGGGUAGCGGAGAAAUUCCAAACGAACUUGGAGAUAGCUGGUUCUCUCCGAAAUAGCUUUAGGGCUAGCGUCGACAUUAAGAUUCUUGGAGGUAGAGCACUGUUUGGGUGAGGGGUCCAUCCCGGAUUACCAAUCUCAGAUAAACUCCGAAUGCCAACGAGAUAUAAUCGGCAGUCAGACUGCGAGUGCUAAGAUCCGUAGUCGAAAGGGAAACAGCCCAGACCACCAGCUAAGGUCCCAAAAUAUAUGUUAAGUGGAAAAGGAUGUGGGGUUGCACAGACAACUAGGAUGUUAGCUUAGAAGCAGCUAUUCAUUCAAAGAGUGCGUAAUAGCUCACUAGUCGAGUGACCCUGCGCCGAAAAUGUACCGGGGCUAAAACAUAUUACCGAAGCUGUGGAUACCUUUAUAGGUAUGGUAGGAGAGCGUUCUAUGUGCGAAGAAGGUGUACCGUGAGGAGUGCUGGAGCGCAUAGAAGUGAGAAUGCCGGUAUGAGUAGCGAAAGACAGGUGAGAAUCCUGUCCACCGUAAGACUAAGGUUUCCAGGGGAAGGCUCGUCCGCCCUGGGUUAGUCGGGACCUAAGGAGAGACCGAAAGGUGUAUCCGAUGGACAACAGGUUGAUAUUCCUGUACUAGAGUAUAUAGUGAUGGAGGGACGCAGUAGGCUAACUAAACCAGACGAUUGGAAGUGUCUGGCCAAGCAGUGAGGUGUGAUAUGAGUCAAAUGCUUAUAUCUAUAACAUUGAGCUGUGAUGGGGAGCGAAGUUUAGUAGCGAAGUUAGUGAUGUCACACUGCCAAGAAAAGCUUCUAGCGUUAAUUAUACUCUACCCGUACCGCAAACCGACACAGGUAGUCGAGGCGAGUAGCCUCAGGUGAGCGAGAGAACUCUCGUUAAGGAACUCGGCAAAAUGGCCCCGUAACUUCGGGAGAAGGGGCGCCGGCGCGUACGUGAACCGACUCGCUCGGGGAGCGGAGGCCGGCCGCAGCGAAGAGGCCCAAGCGACUGUUUACCAAAAACACAGGACUCUGCAGAAGGCGAGAGCCGACGUAUAGGGUCUGACGCCUGCCCGGUGCCGGAAGGUCACGCGGAGCGGUCAGCCGAUCAGGCGAAGCCGCGAAGCCAAGCCCCGGUAAACGGCGGCCGUAACUAUAACGGUCCUAAGGUAGCGAAAUUCCUUGUCGGGUAAGUUCCGACCUGCACGAAAGGCGCAACGACUUGGGCGCUGUCUCGACCAUGGACCCGGUGAAAUUCCACUAGUCGUGAAGAUGCGACUUACCCGCGGAAGGACGGAAAGACCCCGUGAACCUUCACUGCAGCUUGGCAUUGGCCGCCAGCGCGCCGCGUAGAGGAUAGGCGGGAGGCUUCGAACCCCGGGCGCCAGCCCGGGGGGAGCCGACCUUGGAAUACCGCCCCCGGCGCGCCGGCGUCCUAACCCGAGGCCGUCACCCGGCUCGGGGACCGUGCCAGGCGGGUAGUUUGACUGGGGCGGUCGCCUCCCAAAAGGUAACGGAGGCGCGCGAAGGUCCGCUCGGGACGGUCGGCAACCGUCCUCAGAGAGUGCAAGAGCGCAAGCGGGCUUGACUGCGAGGCCUACACGCCGAGCAGGUGCGAAAGCAGGCUCUAGUGAUCCGGCGGCACCGCGUGGGCGGGCCGUCGCUCAACGGAUAAAAGGUACUCCGGGGAUAACAGGCUGAUCUUGCCCAAGAGUCCACAUCGACGGCAAGGUUUGGCACCUCGAUGUCGGCUCAUCGCAUCCUGGGGCUGGAGCAGGUCCCAAGGGUACGGCUGUUCGCCGUUUAAAGCGGUACGCGAGCUGGGUUCAGAACGUCGUGAGACAGUUCGGUCCCUAUC
Molecule: ribosomal RNA, 2648 nt
Filed under: human gut metagenome
Description: bacterial LSU rRNA
Rfam family: Bacterial large subunit ribosomal RNA
Source: RNAcentral